ACUGCCUCCUCUUUGUUUUUAAGAGCUUCUGCCAACUUUGAUAUUUCAAUUUGUUGCUCCUUUGUUUGAGCCCUCUCAUUUUCCAGUUGGCUCUCCAAUUCCAACUUCUCUUUAGUGUCAGCCGCAGCAAUGCACGUCCCUUCAGUCUGGGGCUUCAACUCUUUAGCUUCUGCGUCAUUUUGAAGGGCCUGUUUUUCUCCCUUCAUCCGCUCAGCUUGGAGUUCGUCCUGUGCUGCUUUCAGGGCCGCUGCAAUGCCGAUUUUCUCCGCUGUCCAAUUGUUCAUCUGGGUGUUAUGGAAGGCUUGGAAUCGUUCCCUCAUUUGGUUAUCUGGACCCUGCUGGUUUUUAAGAGCUUCUGCCAACUUUGUCAAUUCAAUGUGUUGCUUCUUUGUUUUAGCCCUCUCAAUUUCCAGUUGGCUCUUCAAUUUCCAGUUCUCUUUACGGUCAGCCGCAGCAAUCCACUUCCCUUCAGCCUGGGGCUUCAACUCUUUAGCUUCUGCGUCAUUUUGAAGGGCCGGUUUUUCUCCCUUCAUCCGCUCAGCUUGGAGUUCGUCCUGUGCUGCUUUCAGGGCCGCCGCAAUGCCGUUGUUCUCCAAUUUCCAAUUGUACAUCUGGGUGUUAUGGAAGGCUUGGAAUCGUUCCCUCAUUUGGAUUGCUGACCCCUCCUGGUUUUUAAGAGCUUCUGCCAACUUUGUCAAUUCAAUGCGAAGCUUCUCUGUUUGAGCCCUCUCAAUUUCCAGUUGACUUUCCAAUUCAAUCUCUGUGUUAGUUUUAGCCAGCUUCAUUUCAGCACUGACCUUCAACAUCCAUUCCAGUUGACCCUUCAAUUCCAAGUUCUCCUUAGAGAUAGUCUCUUCAAAAUUAGGCAGAAGCUGUUUUUCUCCCUUCAUUUUCAAGUCUACACACUGGAUCUUGGUCUUGGGUGUCUGUCCCUCGACAUCACCCUGGGUCUUUUGCAGCUUGGGCCGGCUGGCUUUUAGCUGCGUUUUUUGGCAUAUCUCCUUUUGCACUUCUCCAGUCUUUUUUUCAGGGAGAAGAUCAAGGAACUGUUGCAAUCUGUCCUCGUCAAUCUGAAGGAGAACUCUCCCCUCACAUUGAGUUUGGGUGAGCAUUGCAUUGCUGUCCAGCUCAGCUCUUACUUGUUCCUCCAGCGAACGGAGAUAGAAAUUCACAGGAGGAUCAACCUCCUUGGAAUUUAAAUCCCUUUUCUCCACCAUUAUCUGUUUUUUCUGGACGUUGGACAUACUUUUCUUUUAUCUGUUGCUUUCUGCUCAGUACACCUUCAAUUCAAACUGUCAGAGUGGUCUUCAAACCGGACUGAUGUCUGCUAAGCUUGAGUGAGUGAGUGAGUGAGUGAGUGAGUGAGUGGAAGCAGUGGAACCCUUGUAAUGACACGUUCCAUGAUGUCAUCGUUCCUUUUGAUCUUUCUGUUGCUAUGGG
This is a long non-coding RNA of Gasterosteus aculeatus aculeatus (three-spined stickleback), 1440 nucleotides long. NCBI's taxonomy places the organism in Eukaryota, Metazoa, Chordata, Actinopteri, Perciformes, Gasterosteidae. The record is from Ensembl.